This 751-nucleotide ribosomal RNA is filed under the name uncultured bacterium. RNAcentral's name for it is "bacterial SSU rRNA". It matches the Rfam family "Bacterial small subunit ribosomal RNA", at positions 28 to 776 of the family's 1533-position model. The record is from RNAcentral.
GAUGAACGCUGGCGGCCCGUCUAACACAUGCAAGUCGAACGGACAUUUUUUGGAAAGUUCCUCGGAACUGGAAUCUAAAUGUUAGUGGCGGACGGGUGAGUAACGCGUGAGCAAUCUGCCUUUCAGAGGGGGAUAACAGCCGGAAACGGCUGCUAAUACCGCAUAAUGCAUUGGAUUCGCAUGUUUCUGAUGCCAAAGAUUUUAUCGCUGAAAGAUGAGCUCGCGUCUGAUUAGCUAGUUGGCGGGGUAACGGCCCACCAAGGCGACGAUCAGUAGCCGGACUGAGAGGUUGAACGGCCACAUUGGGACUGAGACACGGCCCAGACUCCUACGGGAGGCAGCAGUGGGGAAUAUUGCGCAAUGGGGGCAACCCUGACGCAGCAACGCCGCGUGAUUGAUGAAGGUCUUCGGAUUGUAAAAAUCUUUAAUCAGGGACGAAGAAAAUGACGGUACCUGAAGAAUAAGCUCCGGCUAACUACGUGCCAGCAGCCGCGGUAAUACGUAGGGAGCAAGCGUUAUCCGGAUUUACUGGGUGUAAAGGGCGUGUAGGCGGGCUUACAAGUUGGAAGUGAAAUCUCGGGGCUUAACCCCGAAACUGCUUUCAAAACUGCGAGUCUUGAGUGAUGGAGAGGCAGGCGGAAUUCCCAGUGUAGCGGUGAAAUGCGUAGAUAUUGGGAGGAACACCAGUGGCGAAGGCGGCCUGCUGGACAUUAACUGACGCUGAGGCGCGAAAGCGUGGGGAGCAAACAGG